AAACACAAAUCCUGUAUACAAUAAUUCUCUAUCUUCAAGUGGGGCAAAGAAAAUAUCCUUUUAAAACUCAUGUAAACUGGGUGUUUGUUGUAUAUCCUGUCAGAGGAAACAAAU
This is a small nucleolar RNA of Phyllostomus discolor (pale spear-nosed bat), 114 nucleotides long. RefSeq annotates it as small nucleolar RNA SNORA27. Lineage: Eukaryota; Metazoa; Chordata; Mammalia; Chiroptera; Phyllostomidae. The transcript has a single exon. The record is from RefSeq and is a predicted model, not a curated record.